UACGAAGGGGGCUAGCGUUGCUCGGAAUCACUGGGCGUAAAGGGUGCGUAGGCGGGUCUUUAAGUCAGGGGGGAAAUCCUGGAGCUCAACUCCAGAACUGCCUUUGAUACUGAAGAUCUUGAGUUCGGGAGAGGUGAGUGGAACUGCGAGUGUAGAGGUGAAAUUCGUAGAUAUUCGCAAGAACACCAGUGGCGAAGGCGGCUGACUGGUCCGGUUCUGACGCUGAGGCGCGAAAGCGUGGGGAGCAAACAGG
This 253-nucleotide ribosomal RNA is filed under the name uncultured bacterium. Its description in RNAcentral is "partial 16S ribosomal RNA". It matches the Rfam family "Bacterial small subunit ribosomal RNA", at positions 524 to 776 of the family's 1533-position model. The record is from RNAcentral.